RNAcentral lists this ribosomal RNA (464 nucleotides) under Vreelandella stevensii. RNAcentral describes it as "partial 16S ribosomal RNA". It matches the Rfam family "Bacterial small subunit ribosomal RNA", at positions 338 to 795 of the family's 1533-position model. The record is from RNAcentral. Lineage: Bacteria; Pseudomonadati; Pseudomonadota; Gammaproteobacteria; Oceanospirillales; Halomonadaceae.
CCUACGGGAGCAGCAGUGGGGAAUCUUGGACAAUGGGCGAAAGCCUGAUCCAGCCAUGCCGCGUGUGUGAAGAAGGCCUUCGGGUUGUAAAGCACUUUCAGUGGGGAAGAAAGCCUUGGGGCUAAUACCCUCGAGGAAGGACAUCACCCACAGAAGAAGCACCGGCUAACUCCGUGCCAGCAGCCGCGGUAAUACGGAGGGUGCGAGCGUUAAUCGGAAUUACUGGGCGUAAAGCGCGCGUAGGCGGUCUGAUAAGCCGGUUGUGAAAGCCCCGGGCUCAACCUGGGAACGGCAUCCGGAACUGUCAGGCUAGAGUGCAGGAGAGGAAGGUAGAAUUCCCGGUGUAGCGGUGAAAUGCGUAGAGAUCGGGAGGAAUACCAGUGGCGAAGGCGGCCUUCUGGACUGACACUGACGCUGAGGUGCGAAAGCGUGGGUAGCAAACAGGAUUACAUACCCCAGUAGUC